CCCUUAGAUGUUCUGGGCCGCACGCGCGCUACACUGACAGAGCCAACGAGUUCUUCACCUUGGCCGGAAGGUCUGGGUAAUCUUGUUAAACUCUGUCGUGCUGGGGAUAGAGCAUUGCAAUUAUUGCUCUUCAACGAGGAAUGCCUAGUAAGCGCGUGUCAUCAGCACACGUUGAUUACGUCCCUGCCCUUUGUACACACCGCCCGUCGCUACUACCGAUUGAAUGGCUCAGUGAGGCCUUCGGACUGGCUCAGGGAGGUUGGCAACGACCACCCCGAGCCGGAAAGUUCGUCAAACUCGGUCAUUUAGAGGAAGUAAAAGUCGUAACA
This 329-nucleotide ribosomal RNA is filed under the name uncultured eukaryote. Its description in RNAcentral is "partial 18S ribosomal RNA". It matches the Rfam family "Eukaryotic small subunit ribosomal RNA", at positions 1470 to 1796 of the family's 1831-position model. The record is from RNAcentral.